RNAcentral lists this transfer RNA (71 nucleotides) under Urocitellus parryii (Arctic ground squirrel). Its description in RNAcentral is "Spermophilus parryii (Arctic ground squirrel) tRNA". It matches the Rfam family "tRNA". From Rfam's summary of the family: Transfer RNA (tRNA) molecules are approximately 80 nucleotides in length. Their secondary structure includes four short double-helical elements and three loops (D, anti-codon, and T loops). Lineage: Eukaryota; Metazoa; Chordata; Mammalia; Rodentia; Sciuridae. RNAcentral also lists the same sequence under 1 other name. The record is from Rfam by way of RNAcentral.
GCAAAUGUGGCUCACUGGUAGAGCUCUUGCCUGACAUUCACGAGGACCUAGGUUCAAUCCCCAGCACUGCA